UUGAAGAGUUUGAUCAUGGCUCAGAUUGAACGCUGGCGGCAGGCCUAACACAUGCAAGUCGAGCGGUAGCACAGAGAGCUUGCUCUCGGGUGACGAGCGGCGGACGGGUGAGUAAUGUCUGGGAAACUGCCUGAUGGAGGGGGAUAACUACUGGAAACGGUAGCUAAUACCGCAUAACGUCGCAAGACCAAAGUGGGGGACCUUCGGGCCUCAUGCCAUCAGAUGUGCCCAGAUGGGAUUAGCUAGUAGGUGGGGUAACGGCUCACCUAGGCGACGAUCCCUAGCUGGUCUGAGAGGAUGACCAGCCACACUGGAACUGAGACACGGUCCAGACUCCUACGGGAGGCAGCAGUGGGGAAUAUUGCACAAUGGGCGCAAGCCUGAUGCAGCCAUGCCGCGUGUGUGAAGAAGGCCUUCGGGUUGUAAAGCACUUUCAGCGGGGAGGAAGGCGGUGAGGUUAAUAACCUCAUCGAUUGACGUUACCCGCAGAAGAAGCACCGGCUAACUCCGUGCCAGCAGCCGCGGUAAUACGGAGGGUGCAAGCGUUAAUCGGAAUUACUGGGCGUAAAGCGCACGCAGGCGGUCUGUCAAGUCGGAUGUGAAAUCCCCGGGCUUAACCUGGGAACUGCAUUCGAAACUGGCAGGCUAGAGUCUUGUAGAGGGGGGUAGAAUUCCAGGUGUAGCGGUGAAAUGCGUAGAGAUCUGGAGGAAUACCGGUGGCGAAGGCGGCCCCCUGGACAAAGACUGACGCUCAGGUGCGAAAGCGUGGGGAGCAAACAGGAUUAGAUACCCUGGUAGUCCACGCCGUAAACGAUGUCGAUUUGGAGGUUGUGCCCUUGAGGCGUGGCUUCCGGAGCUAACGCGUUAAAUCGACCGCCUGGGGAGUACGGCCGCAAGGUUAAAACUCAAAUGAAUUGACGGGGGCCCGCACAAGCGGUGGAGCAUGUGGUUUAAUUCGAUGCAACGCGAAGAACCUUACCUGGUCUUGACAUCCACAGAACUUUCCAGAGAUGGAUUGGUGCCUUCGGGAACUGUGAGACAGGUGCUGCAUGGCUGUCGUCAGCUCGUGUUGUGAAAUGUUGGGUUAAGUCCCGCAACGAGCGCAACCCUUAUCCUUUGUUGCCAGCGGUCCGGCCGGGAACUCAAAGGAGACUGCCAGUGAUAAACUGGAGGAAGGUGGGGAUGACGUCAAGUCAUCAUGGCCCUUACGACCAGGGCUACACACGUGCUACAAUGGCAUAUACAAAGAGAAGCGACCUCGCGAGAGCAAGCGGACCUCAUAAAGUAUGUCGUAGUCCGGAUUGGAGUCUGCAACUCGACUCCAUGAAGUCGGAAUCGCUAGUAAUCGUAGAUCAGAAUGCUACGGUGAAUACGUUCCCGGGCCUUGUACACACCGCCCGUCACACCAUGGGAGUGGGUUGCAAAAGAAGUAGGUAGCUUAACCUUCGGGAGGGCGCUUACCACUUUGUGAUUCAUGACUGGGGUGAAGUCGUAACAAGGUAACCGUAGGGGAACCUGCGGUUGGAUCACCUCCUU
RNAcentral lists this ribosomal RNA (1536 nucleotides) under Klebsiella pneumoniae. RNAcentral describes it as "bacterial SSU rRNA". It matches the Rfam family "Bacterial small subunit ribosomal RNA". The record is from RNAcentral. RNAcentral also lists the same sequence under 1 other name. Lineage: Bacteria; Pseudomonadati; Pseudomonadota; Gammaproteobacteria; Enterobacterales; Enterobacteriaceae.